RNAcentral lists this microRNA (21 nucleotides) under Medicago truncatula (barrel medic). RNAcentral describes it as "mtr-miR2623". The record is from miRBase by way of RNAcentral. Lineage: Eukaryota; Viridiplantae; Streptophyta; Magnoliopsida; Fabales; Fabaceae.
UCGGCUGUACUGUCCUUCAUG